GAAAGGGCGAGGAAUACGUUUCUAACGUGCCCCCUGGUCGAGGAUAGCUCGGGGAAACCCGGGGUAAUACUCGAUGAUCCCGUCGGAUCGCAUGGUCUGUCGGGCAAAGGCUUGCUGCCUGGGGAUCGGGAAACGUCCAAUCAGGUUGUUGGUGGGGUAACGGCCUACCAAGCCUUAGACGGGUAGCGGGUGUGAGAGCAUGACCCGCCGCAUCGGGACUGAGACACUGCCCGGACUCCUACGGGAGGCUGCAGCAACGGAUCUUCCGCAAUGCGCGAAAGCGUGACGGAGCAAUGCCGCGUGCGGGAUGAAGCCCCUCGGGGUGUAAACCGCUGUCAGGGUUUAGGAAAUCUGACCAAACCCAGAGGAAGGGCCGGCUAACUUCGUGCCAGCAGCCGCGGUAAUACGAAGGGCCCGAGCGUUAAUCGGAUUCACUGGGCUUAAAGCGUGCGUAGGCGGAUACGUCAGUGUCUUGUGAAAUCCCACGGCUCAACCGUGGAAUGGCAAGGCAUACUGCGUAUCUUGAGGCCGGUAGGGGCUGUCGGAACUCUAGGUGUAGCG
Molecule: ribosomal RNA, 561 nt
Filed under: uncultured bacterium
Lineage: Bacteria
Description: bacterial SSU rRNA
Rfam family: Bacterial small subunit ribosomal RNA
Source: RNAcentral